Molecule: ribosomal RNA, 395 nt
Filed under: uncultured bacterium
Lineage: Bacteria
Description: bacterial SSU rRNA
Rfam family: Bacterial small subunit ribosomal RNA
Source: RNAcentral
ACUGGAACUGAGACACGGUCCAGACUCCUACGGGAGGCAGCAGUGGGGAAUCUUCCGCAAUGGGCGAAAGCCUGACGGAGCAACGCCGCGUGAGUGAUGACGGCCUUCGGGUUGUAAAACUCUGUGAUCCGGGACGAAGGCAGAGGCGAAGAACAACUGCAUUGACGGUACCGGAAAAGCAAGCCACGGCUAACUACGUGCCAGCAGCCGCGGUAAUACGUAGGUGGCAAGCGUUGUCCGGAAUUAUUGGGCGUAAAGCGCGCGCAGGCGGUUCCCAAGUCCCUCUUAAAAGUGCGGGGCUUAACCCCGUGAUGGGAAGGAAACUGGGAGCUGGAGUAUCGGAGAGGAAAGUGGAAUUCCUAGUGUAGCGGUGAAAUGCGUAGAGAUUAGGAAGA